Non-coding RNA from Schistosoma mattheei, 78 nucleotides. The record is from Rfam. NCBI's taxonomy places the organism in Eukaryota, Metazoa, Platyhelminthes, Trematoda, Strigeidida, Schistosomatidae.
AACUAUUCGAAUCCGUGCUGAGAUUUCCUCAGACACUAAACCACAAAGGCUGAUGAAAUUCCCAAGGUGAGUUGAGUA